This 483-nucleotide ribosomal RNA is filed under the name Streptococcus parasanguinis. RNAcentral's name for it is "bacterial SSU rRNA". It matches the Rfam family "Bacterial small subunit ribosomal RNA", at positions 28 to 498 of the family's 1533-position model. Lineage: Bacteria; Bacillati; Bacillota; Bacilli; Lactobacillales; Streptococcaceae. The record is from RNAcentral.
GAUGAACGCUGCGGCGUGCCUAAUACAUGCAAGUAGAACGCUGAAGCUUGGUGCUUGCACCGAGCGAGGAGUUGCGAACGGGUGAGUAACGCGUAGGUAACCUGCCUCUUAGCGGGGGAUAACUAUUGGAAACGAUAGCUAAUACCGCAUAAAAGUCGCAUUGCAUGAUGUUGACUUGAAAGGUGCAAAUGCAUCACCAAGAGAUGGACCUGCGUUGUAUUAGCUAGUUGGUGAGGUAACGGCUCACCAAGGCGACGAUACAUACCGACCUGAGAGGGUGAUCGGCCACACUGGGACUGAGACACGGCCCAGACUCCUACGGGAGGCAGCAGUAGGGAAUCUUCGGCAAUGGACGGAAGUCUGACCGAGCACGCCGCGUGAGUGAAGAAGGUUUUCGGAUCGUAAAGCUCUGUUGUAAGAGAAGAACGAGUGUGAGAGUGGAAAGUUCACACUGUGACGGUAACUUACCAGAAAGGGACGGCU